RNAcentral lists this ribosomal RNA (253 nucleotides) under uncultured bacterium. Its description in RNAcentral is "partial 16S ribosomal RNA". It matches the Rfam family "Bacterial small subunit ribosomal RNA", at positions 524 to 776 of the family's 1533-position model. RNAcentral also lists the same sequence under 2 other names. The record is from RNAcentral.
UACAGAGGGGGCCAGCGUUAUUCGGAAUUAUUGGGCGUAAAGGGCGCGUAGGCGGCCAUGCGUGUCUUCCGUGAAAUCCCUCGGCUCAACCGAGGACGUGCGGAAGAAACUGCAAGGCUCGAGUCCGGAAGAGGGGGGCGGAAUUCCCAGUGUAGCGGUGAAAUGCGUAGAUAUUGGGAGGAACACCAGUGGCGAAGGCGGUCCCCUGGGCCGGAACUGACGCUGAGGCGCGAAAGCGUGGGUAGCAAACGGG